This 468-nucleotide ribosomal RNA is filed under the name uncultured bacterium. RNAcentral describes it as "partial 16S ribosomal RNA". It matches the Rfam family "Bacterial small subunit ribosomal RNA", at positions 28 to 507 of the family's 1533-position model. The record is from RNAcentral.
GACGAACGCUGGCGGCGUGCUUAACACAUGCAAGUCGAACGGAAAGGCCCUGCUUUUGUGGGGUGCUCGAGUGGCGAACGGGUGAGUAACACGUGAGUAACCUGCCCUUGACUUUGGGAUAACUUCAGGAAACUGGGGCUAAUACCGGAUAGGAGCUCCUGCUGCAUGGUGGGGGUUGGAAAGUUUCGGCGGUUGGGGAUGGACUCGCGGCUUAUCAACUUGUUGGUGGGGGAGUGGCUUACCAAGGCUUUGAAGGGUAGCCGGCCUGGGAGGGUGGCCGGCCACAUUGGGCCUGAGAUACGGCCCAGACUCCUACGGGAGGCAGCAGUGGGGAAUAUUGCACAAUGGGCGGAAGCCUGAUGCAGCAACGCCGCGUGCGGGAUGACGGCCUUCGGGUUGUAAACCGCUUUCGCCUGUGACGAAGCGUGAGUGACGGUAAUGGGUAAAGAAGCACCGGCUAACUACGUG